RNAcentral lists this unclassified non-coding RNA (22 nucleotides) under Mus musculus (house mouse). Its description in RNAcentral is "oocyte_clustered_small_RNA9542". The record is from RNAcentral. Lineage: Eukaryota; Metazoa; Chordata; Mammalia; Rodentia; Muridae.
AGGUUGAUGACCCACAACGGGG